UACGUAGGGCGCAAGCGUUGUCCGGAAUUAUUGGGCGUAAAGAGCUCGUAGGCGGCUUGUCGCGUCGGUUGUGAAAGCCCGGGGCUUAACCCCGGGUCUGCAGUCGAUACGGGCAGGCUAGAGUUCGGUAGGGGAGAUCGGAAUUCCUGGUGUAGCGGUGAAAUGCGCAGAUAUCAGGAGGGACACCGGUGGCGAAGGCGGAUCUCUGGGCCGAUACUGACGCUGAGGAGCGAAAGCGUGGGGAGCGAACAGG
RNAcentral lists this ribosomal RNA (253 nucleotides) under uncultured bacterium. Its description in RNAcentral is "partial 16S ribosomal RNA". It matches the Rfam family "Bacterial small subunit ribosomal RNA", at positions 524 to 776 of the family's 1533-position model. The record is from RNAcentral.